RNAcentral lists this long non-coding RNA (344 nucleotides) under Salvia miltiorrhiza (redroot sage). Its description in RNAcentral is "long non-coding RNA (SMIL_LNC012175)". Lineage: Eukaryota; Viridiplantae; Streptophyta; Magnoliopsida; Lamiales; Lamiaceae. The record is from RNAcentral.
GGCGACAGCCUUAGUGAACAGGGCAGGGUGACUGGGCGUGGUUGGAACGUGGUGGCAAAGGUCACGGACAAUGGCAGAACUAAGGGGGCAGUGGGGGUACUGGGCCCUAUUGAAUUAAAAAAAAGCAUUUUAGUAAUUUCUCAUUUCACAAUUAAAAAUAAUAAAAUAAAGCUAAAAUUGUGAAUUUCAAGCCUCCAACGAAAAAAAACAAAAAAUGCAGCAGUUGAAAUUCUUGGCCGUAGAAAAUGGUAAAAGGUGGCAGACUGGCAGUAGAGAAUUAAAAGUUAAAACCAACACAACUUCCACAUACUGAUAUCACCAUGUUCGUAUAGUAUAGUCUCUUC